This 107-nucleotide ribosomal RNA is filed under the name Strobilomyces sp. HS2006j. RNAcentral describes it as "partial 5.8S rRNA". It matches the Rfam family "5.8S ribosomal RNA", at positions 50 to 154 of the family's 154-position model. From Rfam's summary of the family: 5.8S ribosomal RNA (5.8S rRNA) is a component of the large subunit of the eukaryotic ribosome. It is transcribed by RNA polymerase I as part of the 45S precursor that also contains 18S and 28S rRNA. The record is from RNAcentral. Lineage: Eukaryota; Fungi; Basidiomycota; Agaricomycetes; Boletales; Boletaceae.
GAAUCGCGAUAUGUAAUGUGAAUUGCAGAUUUCCAGUGAACCAUCGAAUUUUUGAACGCACCUUGCGCUCUCUGGUAUUCCGGAGAGCAUGCCUGUUUGAGUGUCAU